GGGGCUAUAGCUCAGCUGGGAGAGCGCCUUGCUUUGCACGCAGGAGGUCAGCGGUUCGAUCCCGCUUAGCUCCA
RNAcentral lists this transfer RNA (74 nucleotides) under Beggiatoa sp. SS. It matches the Rfam family "tRNA". From Rfam's summary of the family: Transfer RNA (tRNA) molecules are approximately 80 nucleotides in length. Their secondary structure includes four short double-helical elements and three loops (D, anti-codon, and T loops). The record is from Rfam by way of RNAcentral. Lineage: Bacteria; Pseudomonadati; Pseudomonadota; Gammaproteobacteria; Thiotrichales; Thiotrichaceae.